UACGGAGGUUGCAAGCGUUGUUCGGAAUUACUGGGCGUAAAGGGCGUGUAGGCGGGCGCUUAAGUCUGGCGUGAAAGCCCGGGGCUCAACCCCGGAAGGGCGCUGGAUACUGGGGGUCUUGAGUCCCGGAGAGGAGGGUGGAAUUCCGGGUGUAGCGGUGAAAUGCGUAGAUAUCAGGAGGAACACCGGUGGCGAAGGCGGCCUUCUGGACGGCUACUGACGCUGAGACGCGAAAGCGUGGGGAGCAAACAGG
This 253-nucleotide ribosomal RNA is filed under the name uncultured bacterium. RNAcentral's name for it is "partial 16S ribosomal RNA". It matches the Rfam family "Bacterial small subunit ribosomal RNA", at positions 524 to 776 of the family's 1533-position model. The record is from RNAcentral.